CCCUUAGAUGUCCUGGGCCGCACGCGCGCUACACUGAGUGUCUGAGAUACGAGUCUGCCUGGUCCGGCAAGGUCUAGGUAAUCGCUAAAAGACACAUCAUGCUUGGGAUAGAUUAUUGCAAAUAUUAAUCUUGAACGAGGAAUUCCUAGUAAGCGCAAGUCAACAGCUUGCGUUGAUUACGUCCCUGCCCUUUGUACACACCGCCCGUCGCUACUACUGAUUGGAUGUUUAAGCGAGGUUCUCGAACUGCUAGCGACUUAGCUUCGGUGAGGUCGCAGUGUGGGAAGUGAACCUAGCUUUGGGGUCUAGAGGAAGUAAAAGGCGUAACA
Molecule: ribosomal RNA, 329 nt
Filed under: uncultured eukaryote
Lineage: Eukaryota
Description: partial 18S ribosomal RNA
Rfam family: Eukaryotic small subunit ribosomal RNA
Source: RNAcentral